UUCAGGAUUGACACAAUGCAAAAAUAAGAUAAAAAUAAAAUGUCUCCUACGCGUCAUGUGAAGUCAUCUUUAAAGCUCAGAGCAGAGAGGAGUUUACGUGAUGCUUGAAUUCUCUGAUUUGGAUUUCACGCUAAAUGGAAUGCUUUUAGAGCCGUCAUGGCCCCC
Molecule: long non-coding RNA, 165 nt
Organism: Oxyura jamaicensis (ruddy duck)
Lineage: Eukaryota; Metazoa; Chordata; Aves; Anseriformes; Anatidae
Exons: 3
Source: RefSeq, a predicted model, not a curated record